RNAcentral lists this unclassified non-coding RNA (313 nucleotides) under Hevea brasiliensis (rubber tree). The record is from RNAcentral. Lineage: Eukaryota; Viridiplantae; Streptophyta; Magnoliopsida; Malpighiales; Euphorbiaceae.
CCACCCCACCUCCUCUCCACAAGUUCUGCAUGGUGCGGAGCUGAGAGAUAGCGCUUCUCAGCAGUUUUGAGAACCUGAAAUCCCUUUGAGGACUCUGGAAUGGUCUUCUUUGCCCUAGUGACGAAAGCUGGAGGAAGGAUAUCAUCUACCACAGCACGGGCUAUGAAUAAAGCAAGGAUGUCAACAGCAUCUAAUAUGUCUACUGCAAGAUCAUCAGCAGACUCAAGAAGUAUGACAAAUCCAUCCCUAAUUUGGGAUGGGCUGAUCACAUCAGCAUAUAAUGCAGAUAGCAGAACAGAAGCCAUUUCCUUCU